RNAcentral lists this long non-coding RNA (373 nucleotides) under Populus trichocarpa (black cottonwood). RNAcentral's name for it is "long non-coding RNA (PTRI_LNC001614)". The record is from RNAcentral. Lineage: Eukaryota; Viridiplantae; Streptophyta; Magnoliopsida; Malpighiales; Salicaceae.
AGAGAUUAUUCACUACAUUUCUUUUUCCGGUUAACGAUAUCUUCCAUACAGUUUUCGUCGAGUUAAGCCCCGUUACUCCGCAAAAGCUCCUUCGAUAUCCUAACCUCUUAAAAAAAAUGUUGCAAUAGCACGGAAGUAGAAUAGAUGCUUCAUGCUAAAAGUUCAAACCAAAUGAUAGUUACCUGGAAGGAUGCUGAAUUCAGACUUCAUGUCGUGAGCAUCUGCCUCGAGGAAAAUAGAAUAUAUCUGCGUGCGUGUUUAUCAUUCCUGUAUCUUAGUUAAUUGGGCUGGCAUCUUCAAACUGUUGGCGAGCUUCAAUAAAUUUAUUUAAUAAGGAUGCUGAAAUCAUAUAUUGCAAUUUGAUCAUGAGGUG